GACGAACGCUGGCGGCGUGCUUAACACAUGCAAGUCGAACGGAAAGGCCCUGCUUUUGUGGGGUGCUCGAGUGGCGAACGGGUGAGUAACACGUGAGUAACCUGCCCUUGACUUUGGGAUAACUUCAGGAAACUGGGGCUAAUACCGGAUAGGAGCUCCUGCUGCAUGGUGGGGGUUGGAAAGUUUCGGCGGUUGGGGAUGGACUCGCGGCUUAUCAGCUUGUUGGUGGGGUAGUGGCUUACCAAGGCUUUGACGGGUAGCCGGCCUGAGAGGGUGACCGGGCACAAUGGGACUGAGAUACGGCCCAGACUGCUACGGGAGGCAGCAGUGGGGAGUAUUGCACAGUGGGCGGAAGCCUGAUGCGACAACGCCGCGUGCGGGAUGACGGCCUUCGGGUUGUAAACCGCUUUCGCCUGUGACGAAGCGUGAGUGACGGUAAUGGGUAAAGAAGCACCGGCUAACUACGUG
Molecule: ribosomal RNA, 468 nt
Filed under: uncultured bacterium
Lineage: Bacteria
Description: partial 16S ribosomal RNA
Rfam family: Bacterial small subunit ribosomal RNA
Source: RNAcentral